Molecule: small RNA, 69 nt
Filed under: Arabidopsis thaliana (thale cress)
Lineage: Eukaryota; Viridiplantae; Streptophyta; Magnoliopsida; Brassicales; Brassicaceae
Description: ATSL025780
Source: RNAcentral
AUGAAAUGAAAAUAGGAAUUUUGAGACACAAACGACAUGAAAAGAGACGGAAGCACUAUAUAUAAAAAA